Wyeomyia smithii (pitcher-plant mosquito) is the source of this 850-nucleotide long non-coding RNA. RefSeq lists it as uncharacterized. The transcript has 3 exons. The record is from RefSeq and is a predicted model, not a curated record. NCBI's taxonomy places the organism in Eukaryota, Metazoa, Arthropoda, Insecta, Diptera, Culicidae.
GGACGUGUUUUAACUGUUUAAAAGAAAACCGAAAGUUUAAGAAUAAAGAUAUAAUUUAUCAGUGGCGACGAGGUAAAAAAAAGUUUAAGUUUCGCGUGUGAUUUUCGUUGCUGUUGCUGGACUGCGUUUUUUUUGUGUACGGGCGUUUGGCGGAGUUCUCCAGGAAGCCGAUUCUUCACGGGAGCCUAUUUUUGAUCGCCGGUCACAAGUGACGCUUAUAUGCAUCGGCUAAAUUUUGGCAUGCAAUUUAGGGGAUAGCAGGAUACAUCUGGACUAUAACUGAACUUUCGGUUUUCAACAAUUAUUGGAUUUUUGAAUUUUUCGCAAAACGAAGCAUCGAUAAAGGAACCGAUUUGGCUUGGCAAAAAUCAAGAGAAGAACGCACUGAGAAUAAAGGAAAUUAACAAUUAUGAUCAAUAGCAUUGGUUGUGAAGAUCUCGAUCGGAUCAGUCUUGGUCUCGGCCCACAAGGGGCAGAUUAAACUCCCAAAGAAGUCUGAACACAGGCGCAAUGUGGCGUUUCAGAUGGUGGACCAUACGGCGCGAACACUCAGUCGAGGCACGAAAAGGCGACAUGAGGAUUCCGAGGACGAAGAGCCGUUUCAUGGAUUUUCACCCGGCAUGGAAACGCUACUGCCAAACAGAAGUGAAGUACACCCACGAGUAUUUCAAUCGAAUACGCGGCAAAGUGCAGGAGUUUCAAAUGGCUCCACUCGAAGUAACAUUAAUGAAGGAUUGAGAAGAUCUACCAGAGCUGUGAAGAAAAGAUUUGAUGGAUGUUUUAUAUAUUUCAAGUGAUACUAUAUUUAACUUGAGUUCUGAAAUUCAUAUGUAGAAGAUAGAUUGUAAAA